This is an RNA transcript of Spinacia oleracea (spinach), 1551 nucleotides long. RefSeq lists it as uncharacterized. The record is from RefSeq and is a predicted model, not a curated record. The transcript is spliced from 9 exons. NCBI's taxonomy places the organism in Eukaryota, Viridiplantae, Streptophyta, Magnoliopsida, Caryophyllales, Amaranthaceae.
AGGUGGUAAGAUCUGUAAUGCAAUUGGAGAAGGUGAGCCCAUAAUUGUUGAUAAAAGUGAGAUAAAAAGGAGGCGAAAACAGAAAACAAGUGGAAGUUCCAAGAGAAGUAGAACCUAAAACGAUCAAGUGUCAUUUGUAAAUAAAAUAAUAUGGCCCCUUUUGCAAAAAUAAAGGAAAUACUUGGUAGGAGUCGCAUGAAUAGUAGAGGUAAAGAAAUAAAUCAACAAGCCCAGGAUAUUUCGUUCGAAGAUGACUUGGACAGUCUCUUACAAGGUCAAGAAGAAAAUACUAACACUAUUGGAGCUAGCUCUUCUUCAAGUGCUUCGGAAAAGACGAAGAAACUCAAUCUAGCACCUCGAGGAAGAAACAAGUGCAAGAAGGCUGCACAUCUUUCAGCUGGGAAUAAACUUCGGGUAGCCUUUUAUGAAGGUCGAGUAGUGGGUGAUGAUGGAAAUGAAUUCACAAGGUAUAUUGGGAAAAUUGUUCGUAACCCCAAUUUGUGUCCUGUGAGAGUUCACAAAUGGGAAGAUUUGGAGUCAGAUAAUGUAGAACAUAUGUGGGCUGUUUUACAGGAGAAGUUUGAGAGCGAGGAUAUGGAAAAAGAGCGUACCUCUACAAUUAAUCAUAUGAAGGAAAUUUGGAGGAAAUGGCGGGGUCAAAUGUUUCAAGAUCACGUAAAGAACAAGUCCAUGGGAGAAGCUAUAAAGAGGGUGCCAAGGAACAUGGAUAAGUAUGAUUGGGAAUGGCUUGUGAGAGUUCAUUACCAUAGUGACAACUAUAAGAAAAUCGGUGGGAAAAAUUCUAAAAACAGAGGUGCAGUAACCAUGCCACAGCGUACGGGAAGUAAGCCAUUUCGACAAAUAAAGUAUGACAUGGGUGGAAGUUCUGGAAAUCCUCCAAGUUUUGAGAAGUUUUGGUUCGACACUCACAAAACAGGAAAUAUCAUAGACAAGCCCGAAACUGUGGAAAAACAUGAAAUGAUCAAGAAGACAAUUCAAGAAAAUCCAGAGAUGGAGGUAUUUGAUGUUAUAGAAGAAUGUUUUGGGAGGCAAAAUAAAGGAUAUGUGGCUGGGUAUGGUGGUUCUGUCAAGCCUAAGGAUCUAAGAGGACCUCUACCAAACAGAUUUGACCUUGAAAUGAAGUUAAAACAAGCCGGAAAAGUUAAUGAAGUGUUACUGGGAAGAAUAUAACAUGUGGAAGCAGAAAACAGAACCUUCGCUGCUCGUUUAAAUGAAGUUGAAGCAAAAUUUGAGGGAAAACUUCAGGCCAUUCUAGAUGCUUUUGGUGAUGAGUAAGAAUAGCUUAUAUGGCUGAUAUUUGAAGACAAUGGUCAACUGAAUCCCACAGCCGUGGUAAAGUUUGCUCUGUGGCUCAAGAAAAGCCGGUGUUGGAUUCCUUGCUGACUGCUCUCAAGUUUGAAUUUUUAUAUAAUUAGGCUCAAGAAAAGCAGGUGUUGGAUUCCUUGCUGACUGCUCUCAAGUUUGAAUUUUUAUAUAAUUAGGCAUCAGAAAAUUGAUUUGGAUUUUUUGUAUUGAACUGGGGUUGUGUUG